GAUGAAGAACGCAGCGAAAUGCGAUAAGUAAUGUGAAUUGCAGAAUUCAGUGAAUCAUCGAAUCUUUGAACGCACAUUGCGCCCUCUGGUAUUCCGGGGGGCAUGCCUGUUCGAGCGUCAUUAUAACCACUCAAGCUCUCGCUUGGUAUUGGGGUUCGCGGUUUCGCGGCCCCUAAAAUCAGUGGCGGCGCCUGUCGGCUCUACGCGUAGUAAUACUCCUCGCGAUUGAGUCCGGUAGGUCUACUUGCCAGCAACCCCUAAUUUUUUUAAGGUUGACCUCGGAUCAGGUAGGGAUACCCGCUGAACUUAAGCAUAUCAAUAAGCGGAGGA
RNAcentral lists this unclassified non-coding RNA (330 nucleotides) under soil metagenome. RNAcentral describes it as "partial contains 5.8S ribosomal RNA, internal transcribed spacer 2, and large subunit ribosomal RNA". The stretch from base 1 to 120 matches the Rfam family "5.8S ribosomal RNA", at positions 35 to 154 of the family's 154-position model. The record is from RNAcentral.